Molecule: transfer RNA, 72 nt
Filed under: Camelus bactrianus (Bactrian camel)
Lineage: Eukaryota; Metazoa; Chordata; Mammalia; Artiodactyla; Camelidae
Also listed under: 2 other names
Rfam family: tRNA
About the family: Transfer RNA (tRNA) molecules are approximately 80 nucleotides in length. Their secondary structure includes four short double-helical elements and three loops (D, anti-codon, and T loops).
Source: Rfam by way of RNAcentral
GAGGGCAUAGCUUAGUGGUAGAGUGAGUGCUUAGCAUGCAUGAGGUCCUGGGUUCAAUCCCCAGUACCCCCG